CAAUAGCGUAUAUUAAAGUUGUUGCAGUUAAAAAGCUCGUAGUUGGAUUUCUGGUUGGAGCGACCGGUCGGGCAUUGAUUUGUCUGCACUGGAGUCGGUUCUGGCCAUCCUCUUGGAAAGUGCGUCUGUCAUUAAGUUGUCGGGCGUAUGAUCCAGGUCUUUUACUGUGAAAAAAUUAGAGUGUUUAAAGCAGGCCUUCGCCUUGAAUACAUUAGCAUGGAAUAAUAAGAUAGGACUUUGGUCUAUUUUGUUGGUUUGCAGACCGAAGUAAUGAUUAAUAGGGAUAGUUGGGGGUAUUUAUAUUCCAAUGUCGGAGGUGAAAUUCUUAGAUUUUUGGAAGAUAAACUUAUGCGAAAGCAUUUACCAAGGAUGUUUUCAUUAA
RNAcentral lists this ribosomal RNA (382 nucleotides) under uncultured eukaryote. RNAcentral describes it as "partial 18S ribosomal RNA". It matches the Rfam family "Eukaryotic small subunit ribosomal RNA", at positions 592 to 976 of the family's 1831-position model. The record is from RNAcentral.